UACAGAGGUCUCAAGCGUUGUUCGGAUUCAUUGGGCGUAAAGGGUGCGUAGGCGGCGCGGUAAGUCGGGUGUGAAAUCUUGGAGCUUAACUCCGAAACUGCAUUCGAUACUGCCGUGCUUGAGGACUGGAGGGGGGACUGGAAUUCUUGGUGUAGCAGUGAAAUGCGUAGAUAUCAAGAGGAACACCAGUGGCGAAGGCGAGUCCCUGGACAACACCUGACACUGAGGCACGAAAGCUAGGGGAGCAAACAGG
RNAcentral lists this ribosomal RNA (253 nucleotides) under uncultured bacterium. RNAcentral's name for it is "partial 16S ribosomal RNA". It matches the Rfam family "Bacterial small subunit ribosomal RNA", at positions 524 to 776 of the family's 1533-position model. The record is from RNAcentral.